GCUCAUUAUACGUGGUUUUGUUGAUUAUGUUAAAAGGUUAUAUAGAAGCCUGAUGCUGCCCCUAGCUCUGGAAAGGGCUUCUUUGCACUUCAGUGAAAGCAUUUGCUCCAUUCUAGAGGGGAACUUAGAAUGGAAACAAACAGCAGAAAAUUAGAUGGUAUGAUGUAGUUGAAUACCAGUGGCCUGAGAUUCAAAACAGGUUCAGCAAUAAAUCAGCAAUAAAUCAGUAGC
RNAcentral lists this unclassified non-coding RNA (231 nucleotides) under Hevea brasiliensis (rubber tree). The record is from RNAcentral. Lineage: Eukaryota; Viridiplantae; Streptophyta; Magnoliopsida; Malpighiales; Euphorbiaceae.